UUUUUGCCGCCAGAUAUUCAAAUAUUGCCGCCACAUGUAGUUUUGGGUGGGUUGAUAAUUAUAGGUGGCGCGUAUACAUUCGCGUAUCUUAGAAUCUGUGUUCCUAGCCUAGUCGCCGUUCUUCCUUUGGGUAAUUGUGUUCUGUGCCGUGACCACGCACCCUGUUAAGCACGCGAAACGUCGGUUAAAUGUAAAAUAAUUGUUAAUCCGGUUAAAAAGUGUUUUCUUUAAAUGUGUAAAGGUUAUGUUAAUAAAAGACAAUACUAUGUGCAACAGUACGGACUGGAAAAUGCAAACAAAAUUAGACGACUGGAAUUCAAGAAAACAAAAGGCAUCUCGUCUCCUAGCAUCCAUAAAUUUUCUUAAAAGAUGCGGAGACCACAACAUCAUCCCCUACUGUGUACGAUAAACAGAUUAUCGUAAACAGAUUGGAGGCAGUGCAUAAACAUCUUAAACACUUGGGCUCACAACAAAUUCAAUAACUGCAAAGUCAUACAAAUAAAAAAAAGUUUGAAAAACUAGCACAGAACACUAAUAGACACCUGUCAAACGUCGCGACUUUAAAUGACACACCCGAUACUAGUCAAAAUGUCACUGUCAUCAAUCUGUCAAAACAAAACUUGUAUAAACAAACCAUCGAGCCUCGAGGUAUUAAAUAAAGGCUUAAAUUUUGCAACGGCACAGCGAAAAAUCCCUCACGAAGAAAUUCUCGAGAAGGCUCUCGCGGAGCUAAAGGCGAACGAAGAUUUGGUAGUACUCCGAGCUGACAAAGGGAACGCAAUACCUAUAAAAAAGUUGAUAAAGAUCCCACAAACAAGGUAAUAAAACAAACAUCUAGCCUCCUUACUAAAUAUUCUGAAACACUGUCACUAGACGUCAAAUCUUUAACAACAGCCUGCGUAAAACCUCCAAAAAUGUAUGGAUUGCCAAAAAUACACAAACACAACAAUCCUUUAAGACCCAUAGUCAGUCAUAUCGACUCACCCACAUACAAAUUAGCCAAACACUUAGUGUCAAUAUUAUCCCCUCUCAGGGGGCACACUAGUGCUCAUGUUAAGGACUCUUACUAUUUUGUGGAAACAUUGAGAGCUCUCAAAUUACUCCACAAUGAAACCAUGGUGAGUUUUGACAUUGAGUCACUAUUUACAAACUUACCACUAAAUGACUGCCUAGAUAUAAUUGCAAAAAGACUUAGGGAACAGAACAUGUCACCAGAUUAUGUAGAUAUUGUAAAACACUGUCUCACGUCAGGAUACUUAAUGUGGAAAGAUGAGUUCUAUGUGCAGGUUGAUGGAGUGGCCAUGGGUUCUCCAGUGUCACCUAUAGUCGCUGACAUCUUCGUGGAGGACUUUGAGGAGAGAGCUCUGGCCAAUGCCCCGGUUAAACCUCGUCUGUACAAGAGAUAUGUCGAUGACAUGUUUGUAGUACUCCGCAAUGACAAAAUAUCUGCAUUUCUAGCACAUUUAAAUUCAAUACACAAUAACAUUAAAUUUACUGUUGAACAAGAGAACAACAACUGUCUGCCCUUUUUAGACAUUUUAAUUAUACGCAAAGCAGAUGGCACACUAGGUCACACAAUACACAGAAAGGCAACCCACACAGACAGGUACCUCAACCACCACCGCCUCCGACCACCCUUCACAACUGCUUUCUGUCGGUAAAUGUUUGUUCCAGAGAGCCCAACGUCUUUGUGAUGCUGCCCACCUCGAGGAGGAACUACAGCAUGUCAAACAGGUGCUACACCGAAACAAGCUGCGCGUCCCCCGGCUGCAUCACAGAAACAAUAACAAGACACAGACAGCGACAUGAAGGCGGUUGAAGAUGUGGUGCCAACACAACAGAGGGGUCUAUGGUCAUCGAACGUGAGUGAAGAUUCUAACUAAGGCAACAACCUGCUUCCACAACGCGCGUGCAGGAGACUCUGCAGCUGUACCAGCCUUUGCAGACUCUGUGGGGCGCCAGAAUGUUCAGAUUUCAUCAUUUGAACAUAAGCGAACUACUGACAUGGAUCCUGUGUGUGCUAAAUAUUAGCAGCUGAAUAGCAAUUUUAAUUAUAUUUUAAUCAGCUGUUGACACGGUUCAUAUGUGUUCCAUAUUUUAAUAGCUGAGGUUGCGCGAUACACCAACAGCUCACUAGAAAAAUACCAUGUAUGUGUGAAUAGGUGUAAUUAGUAUUUAAGAUAUUGUUUUAUAACAAUAAAUCAGAUUUGAAUAUUG
Molecule: long non-coding RNA, 2217 nt
Organism: Pieris napi
Lineage: Eukaryota; Metazoa; Arthropoda; Insecta; Lepidoptera; Pieridae
Exons: 2
Source: RefSeq, a predicted model, not a curated record